Molecule: long non-coding RNA, 239 nt
Organism: Syngnathus acus (greater pipefish)
Lineage: Eukaryota; Metazoa; Chordata; Actinopteri; Syngnathiformes; Syngnathidae
Exons: 3
Source: RefSeq, a predicted model, not a curated record
GUACUGUAAAGAGAUGGCGAGCGAGUGAGAGGAUGAAAAGAGAAGUCACUUGGGGGUUAAACAACAAGAUGUGCAUGCGAGGAGCUGGCGGGACCUGGCCUGGUGAAUGACAUGGGCGCCAGCAAAUGAGAGUGUAGAGUUAUGAGCCCUCAAGAGGACUCACUUGUUUCUGUUUGGAAGUCUCGAAAGCCGUCGAAUAUGGAUCGGGCCGGUCUCCUUCUCUUUGGCACUGAAGGUUC